AGUAACACGUGGAUAACCUACCUAUAAGACUGGGAUAACUUCGGGAAACCGGAGCUAAUACCGGAUGAUAUUUUGAACCGCAUGGUUCAAAAGUGAAAGACGGUCUUGCUGUCACUUAUAGAUGGAUCCGCGCUGCAUUAGCUAGUUUGUAAGGUAACGGCUUACCAAGGCAACGAUGCAUAGCCGACCUGAGAGGGUGAUCGGCCACACUGGAACUGAGACACGGUCCAG
RNAcentral lists this ribosomal RNA (231 nucleotides) under uncultured Staphylococcus sp. RNAcentral's name for it is "partial 16S ribosomal RNA". It matches the Rfam family "Bacterial small subunit ribosomal RNA", at positions 109 to 334 of the family's 1533-position model. The record is from RNAcentral. Lineage: Bacteria; Bacillati; Bacillota; Bacilli; Caryophanales; Staphylococcaceae.